This is a long non-coding RNA of Neoarius graeffei (lesser salmon catfish), 205 nucleotides long. RefSeq lists it as uncharacterized. The record is from RefSeq and is a predicted model, not a curated record. NCBI's taxonomy places the organism in Eukaryota, Metazoa, Chordata, Actinopteri, Siluriformes, Ariidae. The transcript is spliced from 3 exons.
AAAAACUGCGUUUAAGGACACCAAGAUCCAUGAUGUCCUGUUUGAUGCUCUACAAAAGCAGCUGCCAGGGAGCACACAUGCUACUUUUAGUGACGCAAUCAAGAAGUGGCUUAAGUAUGCGCCAGAGAGAGAGGGAGGGAUGAGGAGACGUGAGGUGUCUGCGCCGCAGGAGGAAUAGGCCACAAUUAUAAAUUAUAAAUAAAUC